UUUGGCAAAACUCAUUUUUUCUUUUGUUGAAUGAGCCAUCGCUACCUCCCUCCCCCUAGGUUAUCCCCUCCUGUCAUGUGUGCUUUUUGAUAUGCGUUUCAAUGCUUGUGAAUGCAUUGCCUUGGGUGGAACAACUAGACAUGAAAAAUAUGCUUUUGGGCUGUUUUGAAGAUAAAGCUACGAUGAUAUUGUCAAGAGACCAAACUUUCAAACCUUCUGAUAAGAAAUCAUCACAACAUAAACAUCAAAAUCGAAAACACAAUGUUCAUGUGCUUUUGAAUUCUAGUUCUAAAAAUCCAAAGAAGAGGAAAUUGGAACAAUACAUAAAUGAUGGUAAAUUUGCUACUAGUUGUAAACUCAUCAAUAAAGAGAAAUAUGGUAGUGAAAAUGUCAAAUAUCAGAAAAGAAACCCAUCUCCUCAUCACUCAUGUUCAACUCUACCAGGUAGAAAAAAUAUUAUUGUACAAGAAACACAAGAAUAUGGUUUCCCUGCUCAAAAUGACAAAACAGAAUUUUGUGGUAUUAAUAUGGAAGAUUAUUCUCACCUAAGUGACACCAAUGAUUCCAUUAAGGGGCCAAGUAUUAAGAAUCAAGGGAGCUUGAAUAUCCAGGCUAGAGGUUUAAUGCCUAGUAUUAGUUAUUCGUCUAGUAACAAGACAUCAAUCGAAGAGAAAGAAAAAAUGGAAUUUUUGAAAAUAUUGGUCGAAGAAGCUUUUAUCAAUAGUAAGACUUCACAUUUAUUAUACUCGAAAGAGGCAGACGUGAAACUCAUUCAUUCUUCCAAGAACUUUUUACCGGCUAGGAGUAACCAUCUUCCAAGACCGGUUAUUCCCGUUGGACCUCGGUUUCAAGCCGAAAUUCCUAAGUGGGAGGGCACAACCAACUUAAAACAAUAUAAUAGUGAUGAUUGUUUGAAGUGGUUGGGCAUCCAAAUUUGGCCAAUGCCUAAUGUAUCUAAAACAAAUGCAAAAGGUAUUGGGAAAGGUAGACAUGACUCGUGCUCAUGUCACAAUCCUAAAUCAGUUGAUUGUGUUCAAAAACAUGUUAGUGAAGCUAGGGAAUGUUUAAAAUCAAAGAUCAAUACCGCUUUCUCAAAUUGGAAGUUUGAUGACAUGGGAGAAGAUGUUUCAAAAUCAUGGACGAUGGAAGAGCAAACGGCAUUUGAAUCUCUUGUUAAAUCAAAUCCGCUAUCAAGUGAUACGAAGUUUUGGAAGCUCAAGAUGAAGAAGUACUUUCCUUCCAAAUCAAUGAAGUGCAUGAUAAAUUACUAUUACAAUGUAUACAUCCCUAGAUGUAUGAGCAAAGCGACAAGAUCUCCCUUUGGUGCAUUUGAUGGUGAACCAAAAUGAUAACAUGUUCAUAGAAAGUCGAAAGUUCACAAAUUGAUUGAGAUAUUGGAACCGUAGAAGAAGCUGAGGAUACUGGUAAUGGUUUUGCAUCUCGCAAUCCUUUCGUGACACCUGCGCAAUUGCAUCUCGCAAUCUUUUCAUGAAUAAUCGACUCUACUUCAAAGAUACUCUGAAAGAGCAUGGGAUUUGGAGGAGAUGCAUCACUCUACUAUUCAGCUUUGAUUGGAGGUGUUCUUGCUUUCUCAACAUUCAUUUCACUUCUUCUUGUUAGGCAGAUGAUCACUAGUUAGUAUCUUUUCGGCCAAAGAAACUCAAUUUCUAAAGGGUAACCAAUAUCAGCAUGACAAGAACACACAAUGCAGCCACAAUUCCAGCAUGCCACCAGCAGACAGCCCUCCUGAAUGAUUUUCAAAGUCUACAACAAAGUUGAAAUGCUUAUAGAAAAUGACAAAGCACGGCAGUGGAAAGAAACAUGGAAAACAAAUGAUAAACAAAAACUUACUUGGUGUUACUGUGAUAGUAGAUAUAAGAGGUCCAUAUACACCUCCAUCAGGAAUGGCAAUGGUUCCUUUCCCUACCCAGUACAAGUGAAUUUCCAAGGUGUUGUCAUUGACAUCGACAUCGAAUUGCUUAGUGAUUCAUUUUCCAACUCCACCAGCUUUUUCCAUAAUGUUAAAAUGCUUCAAACAUUUAAAACCCUGUGAAGAUGUAGAAUUUUAAAUUUAUGCCUUUAGUUUAGGACAUUUAGUUUCUUCAAAUAUAAGAAUCAACAAAAAUAAUGUAACAAAAAAAACUUCGCCUCCGUGCUGACUUGAAUUGAAACUUCAAAUAUGUGUCUUCCAAGACUGCUAAAAGUCUGGUCAUCUCUUUAUUAUUUAAAACAAGGUGCAUUUUAUAAAGCUAGGAAGAAUUUUAGUUGGAACCUCUUACUUUUUGGUGCA
Molecule: non-coding RNA, 2290 nt
Organism: Cicer arietinum (chickpea)
Lineage: Eukaryota; Viridiplantae; Streptophyta; Magnoliopsida; Fabales; Fabaceae
Source: RefSeq, a predicted model, not a curated record